GACGGAGGAUGCAAGUGUUAUCCGGAAUCACUGGGCGUAAAGCGUCUGUAGGUGGUUUGUUAAGUCAACUGUUAAAUCUUGAGGCUCAACUUCAAAUCAGCAGUCGAAACUAUCAGACUAGAGUAUAGUAGGGGUAAAGGGAAUUUCCAGUGGAGCGGUGAAAUGCGUAGAUAUUGGAAAGAACACCGAUGGCGAAGGCACUUUACUGGGCUAUUACUAACACUCAGAGACGAAAGCUAGGGUAGCAAAUGGG
RNAcentral lists this ribosomal RNA (253 nucleotides) under uncultured bacterium. Its description in RNAcentral is "partial 16S ribosomal RNA". It matches the Rfam family "Bacterial small subunit ribosomal RNA", at positions 524 to 776 of the family's 1533-position model. The record is from RNAcentral.